RNAcentral lists this long non-coding RNA (2817 nucleotides) under Olea europaea subsp. europaea. Lineage: Eukaryota; Viridiplantae; Streptophyta; Magnoliopsida; Lamiales; Oleaceae. The record is from RNAcentral.
UGACUCCUGGCAUAAAUCUUUCUCCUUCUUAAAUCGAAGUUCCUCCCAAAUCUGUGAAGAACCCUAAUCAAGAACCAUCUUCUCCAAGUUGAUUUCUGGCAAGUCUCACGCGAAGAUUUCGAAAAUCUACCCCAUUAUUUUAGAGGAAGAAGAAGACGUAAAUUCGAAAUGGGGAGUUUGGGGAAAGUAGUUUACACCUUGGGAUUUUGGAUUCGAGAGACGAGCCAAGCAAUGUAUUGUCUUGGCUGUCACCUCCAAAGAAAUUAUUACUUCCAACAACAACGUACGCCCAUUUACUUUCUUUUUUCUUAAAACCCCUGAUCACCCACUUCCUUUAUUUUAGUUUUUGAUCCACCUUUAUUUGUUCUUAAUGUAUUUUAGUGAGGAUGGAAAUUAUUGUUGGGCUUGAUAUUUAAACUCUUUAAUUAAUUGAUAUUGCUGAGUGGAAAACGGAGGAUAGGAAAAUGAUUUGCGGCAUGUCUAAAAAAUUGAACCUCUGUUGAAAAGAAUGAAAAUAUCGUACAAAAAUUGUUGGGGAAUAUACCGAUUAUGUGCAUAUUAUAUUCACAAAAAAAUAUACUGUUUAUAUUCACGAAAUCGAAAAAAGGUUUCGAUUUAUCGAAAUGGAGUUUGAGAAAUUAACCAAUGAUUAUCGAAUCUGAUCAUUUUCAUUCUUGAAUUAAAACGUGUGAUUCUUCAUAUCGAAUCUUAAGAUGAAUUUGCCUCAGGUGUUAACGGUUUUUUGACAAUCAUCUCCCAAGAUACAACGACCACGUCAAGCCAUAUGAGCACUCCAAAUGACUUCGAUCAGCGAACUCGAACGGAAUUCCCUCUCUACCAAGGAAAUGCAUGAAAAUGCUAUGGAAUUAGAAAGAAGAGAAUUACAAGAGGAGAAUGAAUGCUCAAUGCAAUUGGUGUAUCCAAAACCAUGUCCAUAGGGUUCUAUUUAUAGAUGUAGAAAGAGUGUAAAUGAAUUAGUGUGAGCCAAAACAUGCAUCAUUUCAAAAAGUUGUAACACUUGGCCAAAAUCUGCAUCAUUUCGAAAAGUUGAAACACUUCAUUUCUUCCAACUUUGAAUUGUAAUUUCUCAUUCAUCCGGAAUAGGUUUCGAGAUUUUAAAUAUACCACGACGAUCUACUCGACGAGUAUAAUAAGUUGAUCUAUUUACUUUUAUAAUUUGACCAUUGGAUCAAGUCCGAAUAUUUGGUCGAAGUUGACACGUAGUCACACCUUUUCAUUUUCUACUUUUAUACACCUUUUCAUUUUUCAAUUUUUGGUUAAUUAUUUGAACUAAUUCCAACAAAAAUAGAUAUUUUUUGGUGGCUGCAAUAGUGUACUUUAAAAUACUAUUCUGUAUUUUAUAGCAAGGUAUCUGAUCCUUUGUACUUGUAUUUUUUUUUCCCUCAGCUACUUGUAUUUUUUUUUUUUUUUUUUCACUUUUCUAAAAUUUUUUUGUGGCUGCAAUAGCAUAUUUUUAUUGUAGGAAGGAAUAAGGGGAUUUGUCAUAGUUGUAUGAAAUUGGGCCACUUCUUGUCGAAUUGCUGCACGAAGAAACCAUGCCCAUAAAGGAUUUGGGAGCUGCUAAUAAUCUGAAGAAACAUUUGUCAAGACAGUUUGCAAUGAAGGAUUUGGGAGCUGCCAAAUAAAUUCUUGGUAUCAGGAUCACCAGAGAUAGGGUCAAGGGUAUGUUGAAACUCUCACAAGCUGAGUAUGUGAAAAAGGUACUCAGUAGAUUUAACAUGGACAAGGCCAAAUCAGUCAGUACAUCGUUGGGAAGUCACUUCAGACUCAGCAAAGAUCAGUCACCAAAAUCAAAGGAGGAACAUGAUUACAUGGAUAAGGUUCCUUAUGCUUCGGCUAUUGGUUGUCUAAUGUAUGCUAUGGUCUGUAUAAAACCAGAUAUUGCACAUUCAGUGGGAGUUGUAAGUAGAUACAUGAGUAACUCGAGAAGACAACAUUAGGAGGCUGUGAAAUGGAUUUUGAGGUACCUAAAAGGCUCCACAGAAGCAUGUCUGUGUUUUACCGGAGAAAGUCUAGAGUUACGGGAUUUUGUUGAUGCUGUUUUGGCCGGAGAUGCUGAUAGUAGAAAGAGCACCACCGGCUUUGUUUACACUUUGGGUGGUACUGCCGUGUCGUUCCUACCUGCAAAAGACGGUAUCUUUAUCUACUACAGAAGCGGAGUAUGUUGCGGUGUCAGAAGCUUCAAAGGAGAUGAUUUGGCUACAAAACUUCUUGGAGGAAUUGGGCAAAGAGAAGUAGAAAGGUACUCUUUACAGCGAUAGUCAAAGUGCCAUAUUCCUUGCCAAGAAUCCGGCAUUUCAUUCCAGGACAAAGCACAUUCAGAUCAGGUAUCAUUUCAUUCGGUCCUUACUUGAUGAUGGUCAGUUGAUACUUGAAAAGAUUUGUGGAAGCAAGAACCCUGCUGAUAUGCUGACAAAGGGUGUUACACUUGAGAAACUGAAGUUAUGUGCAACUUCAGUUGGUCUUCAGGUUUGAAGGCAAGGGUCACAAGUUGCAGAGGUGGAGGAUAUUCUUUUCUAAGGCGGAUGGUGAUGCAUUGGUUGAUCUAGUCUCCAAGUGGGCCUUUUCUUGUGGAGCCUAGAUCAAGUCUGCCUAGGUCCAAAUCCAAGUUAUUAGGGCUUGUGUCUUUUACACGUAUUUUAGGUUGUAGAAUAUAUAUAUUCUUUUGUUUUUUUUUGUUUUUUUUUCAGCUUGUGUGGCUGUAGACAGAAUUUAAAAGAAUUCUGUGAGAACUCCAAAUAUGGGUCUGUGCGUGUGUAAUUCCUCAAGGCAAUAAAAUGCUCUGCAGUUUGUGAA